Chinchilla lanigera (long-tailed chinchilla) is the source of this 351-nucleotide long non-coding RNA. RefSeq lists it as uncharacterized. The record is from RefSeq and is a predicted model, not a curated record. Lineage: Eukaryota; Metazoa; Chordata; Mammalia; Rodentia; Chinchillidae. The transcript is spliced from 3 exons.
UUCUCUUCCUUGCAGGCGGCUGCCACUUCUUUGCAGCUGCACUCUGCUUGUGCUGGCCUCUCGGCCUGGAUUAGCUGUCCUUGUUACAUCCAUCCCAUCCACCAAGGGAGCCGCCUCCUCUGUAAAACCAUCUUGAUUCUGUCAACUCUGAAUACCAGGUGUUUUGAGCAGCUCAGGAGCAGGAAUCGAACUCAGGACCUCGCGCUUGCCAGCCAGAAGGGUGUCAGAGAACUGGAAGUGGGUGACCGGGUCUCCAGACUUUCCCUGACCCCUGGUCUCAUCCUCUGGGGCUAUGAACCAUUCUUCAGCACAGGUAGGAAUGCUCACUAAGGAUUCUAUUUGUCCCUUUAC